Molecule: transfer RNA, 67 nt
Filed under: Neocaridina koreana
Lineage: Eukaryota; Metazoa; Arthropoda; Malacostraca; Decapoda; Atyidae
Description: Neocaridina heteropoda koreana tRNA-Ser
Source: RNAcentral
GGGGUUAGCUGGGCAAAUAAAAGCUUCUAACUUUAUAUUUAAGCGGUUAAAUUCCGUUUUAACCCCU